Long non-coding RNA from Tripterygium wilfordii, 604 nucleotides. RefSeq lists it as uncharacterized. NCBI's taxonomy places the organism in Eukaryota, Viridiplantae, Streptophyta, Magnoliopsida, Celastrales, Celastraceae. The transcript has 3 exons. The record is from RefSeq and is a predicted model, not a curated record.
UUAGCAUUAUCGAAGAUAAGACUUAAGAGAACAAGGGCGAGACAUGAAUCGGGUUAUGGGUUUAUAACCAUGACAAACCUUUCAAACCUGGCAGUGGCACCAGACCACGAACCGACGUUCACAUAAAGGGAUAUGAUUACUCCUCCGGAGUUUGGCAAUUCGAAGGCUAUCCUUACGUGCCAAAGGGAUCCUCCUGGUGUUACGAUAAUGCAGAUUCAUGGAGCUUCCGAGGGAGCUACAACUCUGCAACUAAGGAUGCAAGAACCAGGAGACCUCUACUUCAAGUGCGGCGUGUAUGCUGCACCAGUUAAUUCCAGCAACUAUAUGGAAUCAAGAAGGAGAGACAUCAAACUCUAACAAGAAAUGACGACAAAAGGAACAAUGUAAAUUAUUUCCUAAUUGUGCUACCUAAUCGAACCAUGUGAACCUAUAAUCCUCAGUUUAUUCAACAGAACCUACUGUUUAUCAGCUCUAUGGUUUCUAAAUUCUGUAGAGAUCCAUCAGAAGUUCAAAAUAUACCAAAAUCAAUGAACAACUAACUAUCGAAAUACGAAAUAUAAGCUACAGAGACAACUCAACUUACAUUCUGCUAGUAGAAUAAAUU